This is a long non-coding RNA of Bradysia coprophila, 190 nucleotides long. The record is from RefSeq and is a predicted model, not a curated record. NCBI's taxonomy places the organism in Eukaryota, Metazoa, Arthropoda, Insecta, Diptera, Sciaridae.
AAAAAUAAUUUUUCUUCUAAUUUCUUUCUUAUUUUUGCCAACUUUUGUACAUUUUUUGUGAUGGAGUUUUCUUAGUUUUCCUGAGUUUCCACGAUUUUCACCAAGUUUUUCGAAGUGCUUGUGUGUGUGCUGAAAUUAGAGAACUAGAACCAUUAAGUUUUUUUAUAACGCAAAAUUUAUCUUGACGGAU